UCCCUAGAGGACUAGUGGUUAGGCCACAGCGCUCUCACCUCCGCGGCCCGGGUUCGAUUCCCGGCCAGGUCU
This 72-nucleotide transfer RNA is filed under the name Pangasius djambal. Its description in RNAcentral is "tRNA-Glu". The record is from RNAcentral. Lineage: Eukaryota; Metazoa; Chordata; Actinopteri; Siluriformes; Pangasiidae.